Long non-coding RNA from Amblyraja radiata (thorny skate), 440 nucleotides. RefSeq lists it as uncharacterized. The transcript is spliced from 3 exons. Lineage: Eukaryota; Metazoa; Chordata; Chondrichthyes; Rajiformes; Rajidae. The record is from RefSeq and is a predicted model, not a curated record.
CUGAUGUUUCUUUUAAUUACAGAUCAGACGUGCUUUGACCUCCAUGGUGUCCUGUCCUGGGGUGAACUGGACGGCAUUUGGGAUACGGACAUGAUGGUGGUUCCAUCGCUCUCAGAGUCUCCUCUUGUCAUUCCUGUCCUGAGAUAUUUGGUGCUGUUUGCUGGGGUCCCCAAAGCAGUGGGGGUGAUGAAGGGACUCUCUCUCCUGGUUGGAUUCAGACACAUGCCAGCUUCCUACAGCCCAGGAGUGCCGCCCUGACAUCUCACGGACCGCGGCGGGCGCGGGGAAACGCUGGUGGUGCCGACUUACACCGGCGAGCGGCAACGAGAUGGAUCUACCGGCUUGGGAAGGAACCUCAUCACUUUGGAGACCUGGUCAACAAGCCCAUCUCAUCCCACUACGAUUACAAGGACCUCGGGAGGGUGCGGGCGGGUGGCGUG